UAAUUCAUCCAUAUGCAUAUUUCUUACUUCCUUUACACACAUGGAAGAGUAACAAACAGAGAGAUGAUAGAUACAAUAUAAACUGUAAGUCCGUAACAAUAAAUAUAAUACAUCACAUGAAUGAGAAGCCAGAAAUUGCUAGUUAGCUACCUACUUACCACCUAAUCCUCCUUGAUUUUCCUGUCUACAACCAAUAAUAAUCGCGGUACGACCACGGCCAAAUGAAUAAAUACCCAGCUACAAGCAAGCAAACAACACUCUCAUCGACUCCACU
This 274-nucleotide long non-coding RNA is filed under the name Hordeum vulgare. RNAcentral's name for it is "long non-coding RNA (HVUL_LNC013010)". Lineage: Eukaryota; Viridiplantae; Streptophyta; Magnoliopsida; Poales; Poaceae. The record is from RNAcentral.